This 335-nucleotide unclassified non-coding RNA is filed under the name soil metagenome. RNAcentral describes it as "partial contains 5.8S ribosomal RNA, internal transcribed spacer 2, and large subunit ribosomal RNA". The stretch from base 1 to 120 matches the Rfam family "5.8S ribosomal RNA", at positions 35 to 154 of the family's 154-position model. The record is from RNAcentral.
GAUGAAGAGCGCAGCGAAAUGCGAUAAGUAAUGUGAAUUGCAGAAUUCAGUGAAUCAUCGAAUCUUUGAACGCACAUUGCGCCCAUUAGUAUUCUAGUGGGCAUGCCUGUUCGAGCGUCAUUUCAACCCUUAAGCCUAGCUUAGUAUUGGGAAUCGACUUUACUGUCGUUCCUCAAAUUCAACGGCGGAUUUAUAGCAAUCUCUGAACGUAGUAAUUUUUUUCCUCGUUUUUGAAAUACUAUAAACCUCAGCCGCUAAACCCCCAAUUUUUCUAUGGUUGACCUCGGAUCAGGUAGGAAUACCCGCUGAACUUAAGCAUAUCAAUAAGCGGAGGA